This 460-nucleotide ribosomal RNA is filed under the name uncultured bacterium. RNAcentral's name for it is "partial 16S ribosomal RNA". It matches the Rfam family "Bacterial small subunit ribosomal RNA", at positions 338 to 795 of the family's 1533-position model. The record is from RNAcentral.
CCUACGGGGGGCUGCAGUGAGGAAUAUUGGUCAAUGGACGAGAGUCUGAACCAGCCAAGUAGCGUGAAGGAUGACUGCCCUAUGGGUUGUAAACUUCUUUUAUAUGGGAAUAAAAUGUUCCACGUGUGGGAUUUUGUAUGUACCAUAUGAAUAAGGAUCGGCUAACUCCGUGCCAGCAGCCGCGGUAAUACGGAGGAUCCGAGCGUUAUCCGGAUUUAUUGGGUUUAAAGGGAGCGUAGGUGGAUUGUUAAGUCAGUUGUGAAAGUUUGCGGCUCAACCGUAAAAGUGCAGUUGAAACUGGCAGUCUUGAGUACAGUAGAGGUGGGCGGAAUUCGUGGUGUAGCGGUGAAAUGCUUAGAUAUCACGAAGAACUCCGAUUGCGAAGGCAGUUCACUGGACUGCAACUGACACUGAGGCUCGAAAGUGUGGGUAUCAAACAGGAUUAGAUACCCUUGUAGUC